This 497-nucleotide ribosomal RNA is filed under the name uncultured bacterium. RNAcentral's name for it is "partial 16S ribosomal RNA". It matches the Rfam family "Bacterial small subunit ribosomal RNA", at positions 28 to 507 of the family's 1533-position model. The record is from RNAcentral.
GAUGGACGCUGGCGGCGUGCCUAAUACAUGCAAGUCGAGCGAACAGACGAGGAGCUUGCUCCUCUGACGUUAGCGGCGGACGGGUGAGUAACACGUGGAUAACCUACCUAUAAGACUGGGAUAACUUCGGGAAACCGGAGCUAAUACCGGAUAAUAUAUUGAACCGCAUGGUUCAAUAGUGAAAGACGGUUUUGCUGUCACUUAUAGAUGGAUCCGCGCCGCAUUAGCUAGUUGGUAAGGUAACGGCUUACCAAGGCAACGAUGCGUAGCCGACCUGAGAGGGUGAUCGGCCACACUGGAACUGAGACACGGUCCAGACUCCUACGGGAGGCAGCAGUAGGGAAUCUUCCGCAAUGGGCGAAAGCCUGACGGAGCAACGCCGCGUGAGUGAUGAAGGUCUUCGGAUCGUAAAACUCUGUUAUUAGGGAAGAACAAAUGUGUAAGUAACUAUGCACGUCUUGACGGUACCUAAUCAGAAAGCCACGACUAACUACGUG